This is a long non-coding RNA of Musa acuminata AAA Group (dessert banana), 306 nucleotides long. RefSeq lists it as uncharacterized. The transcript is spliced from 3 exons. NCBI's taxonomy places the organism in Eukaryota, Viridiplantae, Streptophyta, Magnoliopsida, Zingiberales, Musaceae. The record is from RefSeq and is a predicted model, not a curated record.
CUCUCCCUUUAUAUCUUCGAUCACUCUCUUUGCUCUGCUAAACUGAGCAAUGGCCGGGAGAGUUGUAGCAACCUUCUCCUCCUCUUUCCUUGUGUCUCUCACUUGCGCACUGCUACUCCUCUCUCUAACACCAGGAGGAUCGGUGAAGCUGGUGCAGGCGCAGGAACAGAAGACUUGGUGCGUGGCGAAACCCUCGUCGGACAAAGCAACUCUCAUCGCCAACUUGGGCUACGCCUGCUCUCGGGUGGACUGCAGCGUGCUGCAGCGGAAAGGCGCCUGCUUCGACCCAGAUAUCCUCAUCUCCCA